GAUGAACGCUGGCGGCGUGCCUAAUACAUGCAAGUCGAGCGAACAGACGAGGAGCUUGCUCCUCUGACGUUAGCGGCGGACGGGUGAGUAACACGUGGAUAACCUACCUAUAAGACUGGGAUAACUUCGGGAAACCGGAGCUAAUACCGGAUAAUAUAUUGAACCGCAUGGUUCAAUAGUGAAAGACGGUUUUGCUGUCACUUAUAGAUGGAUCCGCGCCGCAUUAGCUAGUUGGUAAGGUAACGGCUUACCAAGGCGACGAUGCGUAGCCGACCUGAGAGGGUGAUCGGCCACACUGGAACUGAGACACGGUCCAGACUCCUACGGGAGGCAGCAGUAGGGAAUCUUCCGCAAUGGGCGAAAGCCUGACGGAGCAACGCCGCGUGAGUGAUGAAGGUCUUCGGAUCGUAAAACUCUGUUAUUAGGGAAGAACAAAUGUGUAAGUAACUAUGCACGUCUUGACGGUACCUAAUCAGAAAGCCACGGCUAACUACGCG
RNAcentral lists this ribosomal RNA (497 nucleotides) under uncultured bacterium. RNAcentral describes it as "partial 16S ribosomal RNA". It matches the Rfam family "Bacterial small subunit ribosomal RNA", at positions 28 to 507 of the family's 1533-position model. The record is from RNAcentral.